UCGUGAGACAGUUCGGUCCCUAUCCGUCGCAGGCGUAGGAAAUUUGAGAAGACCUGUCCUUAGUACGAGAGGACCGGGAUGGACGUACCUCUGGUGUACCAGUUGUUCUGCCAAGGGCAUGGCUGGGUAGCUAUGUACGGAAUGGAUAAGCGCUGAAAGCAUCUAAGCGCGAAGCCAACUUCAAGAUAAGAUUUCCCACCGCAAGGGUAAGACCCCAGAAAGACUAUCUGGUUGAUAGGUCGAAGGUGUAAGUGCAGCAAUGUAUUUAGCUUAUCGAUACUAAUAG
RNAcentral lists this ribosomal RNA (286 nucleotides) under Clostridioides difficile. Its description in RNAcentral is "partial 23S ribosomal RNA". It matches the Rfam family "Bacterial large subunit ribosomal RNA", at positions 2619 to 2907 of the family's 2925-position model. Lineage: Bacteria; Bacillati; Bacillota; Clostridia; Peptostreptococcales; Peptostreptococcaceae. The record is from RNAcentral.